UUUUUUUUCUUUGUUAUGAGGACACAACUAACCCUGAGGACUUUGUUGUCCUCAGGGUUAGUUUAAGUGAUGGCAGUGAGACUGAUGGCUCCUCUCCCUCAUCCCCCACCCACAAAGAGGCCCCAGCUUUGAUAAAAAGCACCAAUAACCAGAUUCUAGAGGUGAGGAGCCCCAUCAGACAGAGCAAGCAAGACAAGAAUGAAAACCUAGACUGUGACAAGGCUUACCUGGAUGAGUUGGUAGAGCUGCACAAUAGACUGAUGACACUAAGGGAAGGCCAUAUACUGCAGCAGAUCGUAAACCUGAUUGAGGAGACGGGGCAUUUCCACAUCACAAAUACUACUUUUGAUUUUGACCUUUGCUCCCUGGACAGAAGUACUGUUCGGAAGCUGCAGAGUUACCUGGAGACCUCGGGAUUGUCCUGAGGCUCUGAGUGGCUGGGCUUUAGACUCUCUGUUUCUGUUUUGACUUUUCCUGAAUAUAAUCAAGGUUGGUUGUUGCACUGCAUCCAGUCUGCUGGAGCCCUGAAUCCAGCAGGUCGUCCUGCAAGUGGAAAGCAGCGGGAGGCGCUGUGGGGGCAGAGCCUGUCCAACAGGAGAUCACCUGUAAGGCCUUGUAGCUUCAACUGAUAGCAGCAUGGUGGCUGGUUUCUCUUAAUGAAUGUGCAUAUUGAUACAUGUAUGUUUCUUGAUUUGUUGUUCAUUGUGACAAACACAUGAUCAGCAUUGCCUUACAACAUGAUGUCUUAUUUAUUGAAUUUAUUUUGGAAGCGUAUGUGUGUGUAGGUGUGUGUGUGCAUGUGUGUGCGUUUGUCUAGGUGUGUGCGUGUGUAUGUGUAUAUGUGCGUGCACGCGUGCGUGUGUGUGUAUAAAAUGGUUCUGGCAGAAUGAGACAGUGGAAGCACUUCACACUUCACAAAGAGCAGAUCUUCCAACCUGUGAGAUUUGAUCAUCAUUCUGAAUUAAAAGAUCUUUAACUGGAGAUUUAAGACAGCCCUGAUCCACUGGGUAUAGAAUUCACAAAUUAAAAAAAAAAAUUAAUUAUUAUAAAUAUGUUUUCACACCAUUGUGGUUUGGAGCUCCAGAUGGAUGGAGAUUAUGUCUGUUCUCCAUUUUUUUUCCCUCAAAUGUUACCAUAUAAAUAACAGAAAGCCUCUAAAUCACAGACAUGCUCAGAAUCACUGACCCAUAAUUAGUUUUGGAUUUAUUAAAAGUUCACAUAAAGAAUUUUUUUUUUUUGUAAUGAUGCAUCGUAGCAAUAAAGCUUAUUCUAUUGAAAAACCUGUAUACUCCCUUAAAGUGGUUCCACGUUUCUAAAGAAAAUACAUGUUAUGUUUUCAUUUGCAGAGUUGACUCUUCAAAUCCUCACUGCCAAUGCCACGCAGCUUUUGGUAAAAGCAGUGUGAUGCUGCGGUGUGGGAGCGGAGUAGACAAGGCUCAUCAUCAUUGGUUCACAAUGCAGAUAUAUAAAAGAUGAAUCAGCUGUAGGAUAUUGGUUGAGCUGAUUUUAGAAGUUUUUCAUGGAUAUAACCCACAAAUGUUCCUUGCAAAUGAGGCACAAUUUAAAGUUUUUUCAUAACUGUCUGGGAUUUAUUGCCAAGAAAUUAUGUUACGUUAAUACAACAAAGAAAUAAAUUAUCAAAUAUAUAUGUACUUUU
Poecilia latipinna (sailfin molly) is the source of this 1657-nucleotide long non-coding RNA. RefSeq lists it as uncharacterized. The transcript is spliced from 4 exons. The record is from RefSeq and is a predicted model, not a curated record. Lineage: Eukaryota; Metazoa; Chordata; Actinopteri; Cyprinodontiformes; Poeciliidae.